CCUUGGUACACACCGCCCGUCACCACCACGAAAGUCGGUAACACCCGAAGUCCAGUGGCCCAACUCGUAAGAGAGGGAGCUGUCGAAGGUGGGAUCGGCGAUUGGGGUG
RNAcentral lists this ribosomal RNA (109 nucleotides) under uncultured bacterium. RNAcentral describes it as "partial 16S ribosomal RNA". It matches the Rfam family "Bacterial small subunit ribosomal RNA", at positions 1378 to 1482 of the family's 1533-position model. The record is from RNAcentral.